GAUGAACGCUGACAGAAUGCUUAACACAUGCAAGUCUACUUGAACUUCGGUUUGGGUGGCGGACGGGUGAGUAACGCGUAAAGAACUUGCCUCACAGUUAGGGACAACAUUUGGAAACGAAUGCUAAUACCUGAUAUUAUGAUUUUAGGGCAUCCUAGGAUUAUGAAAGCUAUAUGUGCUGUGAGAGAGCUUUGCGUCCCAUUAGCUAGUUGGAGAGGUAACGGCUCACCAAGGCGAUGAUGGGUAGCCGGCCUGAGAGGGUGAACGGCCACAAGGGGACUGAGACACGGCCCGUACUCCAACGGGAGGCAGCAGUGGGGAAUAGUGGACAAGGGACCAAAAGUCUGAUCCAGCAAUUCUGUGUGCACGAUGACGUUUUUCGGAAUGUAAAGUGCUUUCAGUUGGGAAGAAAAAAAUGACGUUACCAACAGAAGAAGUGACGGCUAAAUACGUG
RNAcentral lists this ribosomal RNA (454 nucleotides) under uncultured bacterium. RNAcentral's name for it is "partial 16S ribosomal RNA". It matches the Rfam family "Bacterial small subunit ribosomal RNA", at positions 28 to 507 of the family's 1533-position model. The record is from RNAcentral.